GACGAACGCUGGCGGCGUGCUUAACACAUGCAAGUCGAACGGAAAGGCCCUGCUUUUGUUGGUUGCUCGAGUGGCGAACGGGUGAGUAACACGUGUGUAACCUGCCCUUGACUUUGGGAUAACUCCAGGAAACUGGGGCUAAUACCGGAUAGGAUCUCCUGCUGCAUGGUGGGGGUUGGAGAGUUUCGGCGGUUGGGGAUGGACUCGCUGCUUAUCAGCUAGUUUGGGGGGUAGUGGCUUACCAAGGCUUCGACGGGUAGCCGGCCUGAGAGGGUGACCGGGGUCCUUGGGCCUGAGGUAGGGACCAGAAUGCAACGGGCGGCAGCAGUGGAAAAUAUUGCGGAACAGGGGGGAGCCAGAUGCGGAAACGCCGCGUGCGGGAUGACGGGCUUCGAGUGGUAAACAGCUUUCGAAUGUGACGAAGCGUGAGUGACGGUAAUGGGUAAAGAAGCACCGGCUAACUACGUG
Molecule: ribosomal RNA, 468 nt
Filed under: uncultured bacterium
Lineage: Bacteria
Description: partial 16S ribosomal RNA
Rfam family: Bacterial small subunit ribosomal RNA
Source: RNAcentral